GAGGGAAACAACCCAGACCGCCAGCUAAGGUCCCAAAGUCAUGGUUAAGUGGGAAACGAUGUGGGAAGGCCCAGACAGCCAGGAUGUUGGCUUAGAAGCAGCCAUCAUUUAAAGAAAGCGUAAUAGCUCACUGGUCGAGUCGGCCUGCGCGGAAGAUGUAACGGGGCUAAACCAUGCACCGAAGCUGCGGCAGCGACGCUGAUGCGUUGUUGGGUAGGGGAGCGUUCUGUAAGCCUGCGAAGGUGUGCUGUGAGGCAUGCUGGAGGUAUCAGAAGUGCGAAUGCUGACAUAAGUAACGAUAAAGCGGGUGAAAAGCCCGCUCGCCGGAAGACCAAGGGUUCCUGUCCAACGUUAAUCGGGGCAGGGUGAGUCGACCCCUAAGGCGAGGCCGAAAGGCGUAGUCGAUGGGAAACAGGUUAAUAUUCCUGUACUUGGUGUUACUGCGAAGGGGGGACGGAGAAGGCUAUGUUGGCCGGGCGACGGUUGUCCCGGUUUAAGCGUGUAGGCUGGU
RNAcentral lists this ribosomal RNA (511 nucleotides) under Escherichia coli. Its description in RNAcentral is "partial 23S ribosomal RNA". It matches the Rfam family "Bacterial large subunit ribosomal RNA", at positions 1015 to 1529 of the family's 2925-position model. The record is from RNAcentral. Lineage: Bacteria; Pseudomonadati; Pseudomonadota; Gammaproteobacteria; Enterobacterales; Enterobacteriaceae.